This 363-nucleotide unclassified non-coding RNA is filed under the name uncultured Ascomycota. RNAcentral describes it as "sequence contains ITS2". The stretch from base 1 to 154 matches the Rfam family "5.8S ribosomal RNA". Lineage: Eukaryota; Fungi; Ascomycota. The record is from RNAcentral.
AACUUUUGGCAACGGAUCACUUGGUUCUAGCAUCGAUGAAGAACGCAGCGAAAUGCGAUAAGUAAUGUGAAUUGCAGAAUUUAGUGAAUCAUCGAAUCUUUGAACGCACAUUGCGCCCUCUGGUAUUCCAGAGGGCAUGCCUGUUCGAGCGUCAUUACAACCCUCAAGCUCUGCUUGGUAUUGGGUGUUACCUUGACUGGUACCCCUUAAAAUCAGUGGUGGUGUCAUUCAGCUUCAAGCAUAGUAUUACUUUUUGCUUUGGAGGUUGGAUGUGUGCUUGCCAGUAAUGCCUAAUUAUCAAAGGUUGACCUCGGAUCAGGUAGGGAUACCCGCUGAACUUAAGCAUAUCAAUAAGCGGAGGCU